AUUGAACGCUGGCGGCAGGCCUAACACAUGCAAGUCGAACGGUAACAGGAAACAGCUUGCUGUUUCGCUGACGAGUGGCGGACGGGUGAGUAAUGUCUGGGAAACUGCCUGAUGGAGGGGGAUAACUACUGGAAACGGUAGCUAAUACCGCAUAACGUCGCAAGACCAAAGAGGGGGACCUUCGGGCCUCUUGCCAUCGGAUGUGCCCAGAUGGGAUUAGCUAGUUGGUGGGGUAAAAGCCUACCAAGGCGACGAUCAGUAGCCGACCUGAGAGGGUGAUCGGCCACAUUGGAACUGAGACACGGUCCAA
Molecule: ribosomal RNA, 310 nt
Filed under: uncultured bacterium
Lineage: Bacteria
Description: bacterial SSU rRNA
Rfam family: Bacterial small subunit ribosomal RNA
Source: RNAcentral